This 484-nucleotide ribosomal RNA is filed under the name uncultured bacterium. RNAcentral describes it as "SSU rRNA". It matches the Rfam family "Bacterial small subunit ribosomal RNA", at positions 26 to 521 of the family's 1533-position model. The record is from RNAcentral.
AGGACGAACGCUGGCGGCGUGCUUAACACAUGCAAGUCGAACGGUGACGGAGGAGCUUGCUCCUCCUGAUCAGUGGCGAACGGGUGAGUAACACGUGAGUAACCUGCCCCAGACUCUGGAAUAACCCCGGGAAACCGGAGCUAAUACCGGAUACGAGACGGAGUCGCAUGGCUACCGUCUGGAAAGUUUUUCGGUCUGGGAUGGACUCGCGGCCUAUCAGCUUGUUGGUGAGGUAACAGCUCACCAAGGCGACGACGGGUAGCCGGCCUGAGAGGGCGAUCGGCCACACUGGGACUGAGACACGGCCCAGACUCCUACGGGAGGCAGCAGUGGGGAAUAUUGCACAAUGGGCGAAAGCCUGAUGCAGCGACGCCGCGUGAGGGAUGAAGGCCUUCGGGUUGUAAACCUCUUUCAGCAGGGAAGAAGCGAAAGUGACGGUACCUGCAGAAGAAGCACCGGCUAACUACGCGCCAGCAGCCGCGGU